UAGGGAAUCUUCCGCAAUGGACGCAAGUCUGACGGAGCAACGCCGCGUGAGUGAAGAAGGAUUUCGGUUCGUAAAACUCUGUUGUUAGAGAAGAACAGCGCAUAGAGUAGCUGUUAUGCGUGUGACGGUAUCUAACCAGAAAGCCACGGCUAACUACGUGCCAGCAGCCGCGGUAAUACGUAGGUGGCAAGCGUUGUCCGGAUUUAUUGGGCGUAAAGCGAGCGCAGGCGGUCAAUUAAGUCUGAUGUGAAAGCCCCCGGCUCAACCGGGGAGGGUCAUUGGAAACUGGUUGACUUGAGUGCAGAAGAGGAGAGUGGAAUUCCAUGUGUAGCGGUGAAAUGCGUAGAUAUAUGGAAGAACACCAGUGGCGAAGGCGACUCUCUGGUCUGUAACUGACGCUGAGGCUCGAAAGCGUGGGUAGCAAACAGG
RNAcentral lists this ribosomal RNA (429 nucleotides) under Bacteroidota bacterium. Its description in RNAcentral is "Bacteroidetes bacterium partial 16S ribosomal RNA". It matches the Rfam family "Bacterial small subunit ribosomal RNA", at positions 355 to 776 of the family's 1533-position model. Lineage: Bacteria; Pseudomonadati; Bacteroidota. The record is from RNAcentral.